UACGGAGGGGACUAGCGUUGUUCGGAAUUACUGGGCGUAAAGCGCACGUAGGCGGAUUUGUAAGUCAGGGGUGAAAUCCCGGGGCUCAACCUCGGAACUGCCUUUGAUACUGCAAAUCUCGAGUCCGGGAGAGGUGAGUGGAAUUCCUAGUGUAGAGGUGAAAUUCGUAGAUAUUAGGAAGAACACCAGUGGCGAAGGCGGCUCACUGGCUCGGUACUGACGCUGAGGCGCGAAAGCGUGGGGAGCAAACAGG
This 253-nucleotide ribosomal RNA is filed under the name uncultured bacterium. RNAcentral's name for it is "partial 16S ribosomal RNA". It matches the Rfam family "Bacterial small subunit ribosomal RNA", at positions 524 to 776 of the family's 1533-position model. The record is from RNAcentral.